RNAcentral lists this long non-coding RNA (1639 nucleotides) under Homo sapiens (human). RNAcentral describes it as "HSALNT0033793". The record is from RNAcentral. Lineage: Eukaryota; Metazoa; Chordata; Mammalia; Primates; Hominidae.
GGUGCUUACAGAAGCAUUAGGCUAGGCUGAAGGAAUGAAGAGGUUGGCAGCCCCCACUGGACUCACAGCACCACAUCUGCUGCCGUGGGUCGAGAAGUUACUGCUGCUGCUGCCAGCACAACUGCCUCUUAGCCCAUGAAGCUGGUGACCAGGCACUGGAACACAGGUCUGGCUGCUACCAAUAGUCUUGUUUGUCCAAACCUGUUUCCUGUCAACCAGCAGCAGCAAGGUGGCCUCCACUUCACCUCCACCUGCUAAAUCUCCCUUGAAUGCAUCUUAUUGGCCCAACCUAAUUUGCACCUAGCACCGUCAUUUGGAAGGCCUUUGAAAAAGGUGGGAUUGGAUGAGAGAGACUUUCAGAAUGGCCAUCCCACAACCACCUCUAAAUCCUGGAAGAUGUUCCUGGAAUACUGCCCAUGGGACCCCUGGAGCCACAUCCCUAAGGAUAGACUAGGGAAUCAAAUAAGCUGGAACACUGCCCAGGAUCCUCUGUCCAUCCCCUCUUCCUUGCAUGUGGACAGAGGGCUAUUGCAUCCCCAGCUACUGCAAACCAUUGGAUAGUUUAAGGGACUGGUCAUUUGGUUGAUUUUCUGUAAAUUAAUCUGGAGACAUCUUCUCUAGCAUAAACCUGAGGGAGGGAAAGCCAGUCCAUUCCUACCAGAACAGGAUAACGUGGAAGAAAGAGGAAAAGAGGGUGGGAGUCAAAAAUGUCUAGUUUGCCACCAACUGCCAAGCACCACUCUAAGGUUGUGAAGGCUGCACAUGGCAGUAGCUCCAGGACUUACUGCAUGAGAAGAGAGAGCAAAGAGGAUAUGGAGAGAGGACCUGAUGCUCCCAAAGCUCACACUCCUUGACCAUGUAGUGCCUAUGGAAGAAGAAAUCUAAGAAUGUUAUGACUGCGACUUAGAGGGGCAAUGGCUUAGCUCUGAUCCUGCCACAUGGGAUGAAAGUGAAAUCCUGCAGGCAGAACCAAAAAGAGCAGAAGGUGGGUGAAGUGUUAGUGGAAAUGGAUAGUAUUUGGCUAGAAGAUCCAAGGGAAGCCUGAAUCCCAUCUAACCAUCACUUCUCCCUCUGUGAGGCUCCGGCAAGAGCUGCUCAUACAAGGAGCAAGAGCAGAAAGGCACUCAAGUGUCACAUGAUAGCGGAACCAGAGCCUAAUCCCUUCCAGAGCAGGUCAAAGCUGGGGUGGAGCAGGUAGCUUAGGAGCUCCCUAAGCCUGAGUCCAAGUCUUGGGGGUCUUGUCUUCUUCUGGUGGGUUCCAUGGUAUGGGAGGCUGAAGCAAUCAGCAAUAUGCUCAGGCCAAUCCUCAGUGGGAGAGAGGCAUGGUGCGGCCCAUGAUUCUGGUGCAUUAAGUGUAAGUGAGAGUGGAGCCUGGCUGUGCCACCACCUCUGUAAUAAUGCUGCCACCUCUGUAACGAUGCUGCCACCUCUGUAACGAUGCUGCCACGUCUGUAACGAUGCUGCCACGUCUGUAACGAUGCUGCCACCUCUGUAACGAUGCUGCCACCUCUGUAACGAUGCUGCCACCUCUGUAACGAUGCUGUCACCUCUGUAACGAUGCUGCCACCUCUGUAAUGAUGCUGCCACCUCUGUAAUGAUGCUGCCCACCAAUAAACAAGACCCAGGUGGUUCCCUCAGU